This is an RNA transcript of Cornus florida, 1869 nucleotides long. It is a transcript of the gene named probable serine/threonine-protein kinase PBL7, with no coding region annotated. The transcript has 7 exons. NCBI's taxonomy places the organism in Eukaryota, Viridiplantae, Streptophyta, Magnoliopsida, Cornales, Cornaceae. The record is from RefSeq and is a predicted model, not a curated record.
AGUCUUUCCAUUACCUCUUCUCUCUCUCUCUUAAAAUUUGCAAGCGUGUGACUCUCUCUGUGUGUCAUGUAACUCUUGUUUGUUUGGUUAGAUUUUGUUUUGAGCUUCCAGUUUUCUCAGUAGCUGAGAAAAGAGAAAUAGUAGUACUCAGCUACAUAUAGAUAUAGGUGAUAUACUCAUAUAUAGAGAGAUAAAGAGGAGAGAGAGAGAGGCAUGGGCUGUUUUCCAUGCUCUGGAAAUUCAGAUAAGCGGCCAGAGAAGAAGAAGACGAAUAACAACGAAAGUCAUCGGAAUAAACGAGACGAUCAAGCACAACCCACCUCAGAUAAAUUGAAGGUUAGUCCAUAUAGAGAUGUGAAGGAGUUGAGUGAGAAAGGCACUAAGGUUGUGAAUAACUCUUCGCCCCCAAAGGGGCCGGAUGUUAGGGAGGAGGUUCCUGAGGUUAUAGGCACUGAUGACAUUAAGGCAAAGACAUUUACAUUCAACCAAUUGGUGGCCGCAACGGAGAAUUUUAAAUCAAACUACUUUUUGGGUGAGGGAGGCUUCGGUAAAGUUUAUAAAGGAAUAUUGGAGGAUACCGGCGAGAUUGUAGCUAUUAAGCAACUUGACCGAAAUGGAUUGCAAGGGAUUAGGGAAUUUGUGGUUGAAGUAUUGACAUUAAGUUUAGCCGACCACCCUAAUCUUGUUAAAUUAAUUGGUUAUUGUGCCGAGGGCACCCAAAGGCUGUUGGUCUAUGAGUUCAUGCCAUUAGGAUCGUUGGAAGACCAUUUGCAUGACCUUCGACCUAAUAGAAAACGACUUGAUUGGAAUACUAGAAUGAAGAUAGCAGCUGGUGCUGCGAGGGGCUUAGAAUAUUUGCAUGACAAGAUGAAUCCCCCAGUUAUAUACCGUGAUUUGAAAUGCUCUAACAUUCUGCUUGGCGAGGGCUAUCAUCCCAAACUAUCUGAUUUUGGCUUGGCCAAAGUAGGUCCUGUUGGAGAUAAAACCCAUGUCUCUACCAGAGUGAUGGGUACAUAUGGGUACUGUGCACCGGAUUAUGCAAUGACUGGUCAGCUGAAUUUUAAGUCAGAUAUUUACAGCUUUGGGGUUGUUCUUUUGGAGAUCAUCACGGGCAGGAAAGCGAUUGACAAUACAAGAUCUGCUGCUGAGCAAAAUCUGGUUGCGUGGGCACGACCCUUGUUCAAGGACCGGAGGAAAUUCUCACUGAUGGCUGACCCAGCACUCCAGGGUGAGUUUCCGACGAGAGGGUUGUACCAAGCUCUUGCCAUUGCUGCAAUGUGCGUCCAGGAGCAACCUAACAUGCGGCCCCUUAUAGCUGAUGUCGUUACGGCUUUAAACUACCUUGCUUCCCAUAAAUAUGAUCCUCAAGCCCAUCCUGCUCAAGGCUCUCAUAAGGACCAUUCUUUGCAUAAAACAAAAAGGGACGAUGAGCAGAAACUAGCUGCUCCUAAUGGGCAGGAGAGAACCAAGCUGGAAGACUAAUUUAAGCGGUCAAUGCCUUUUUGUUGCACUUCACUUUGCGUGCCUGGUUAUCGGUUUUUGUAUGCCAGAAGAUAACAGGUUACUUGGAAGGGUGAGCCUUGGCGCAACGGUGAGGUUACCGGUACGAAACAAGAAAACAGGCUCUCCGUAUGCGAAGGUACGCUUAACAAGGUGGUCAGAAGAUGUCCAGAACAGCUUGGUUUAUGAUGAUCACACCCCCGCUCUUGAAUUUGACACCAACCCUCUUCCCUUUCUGGAGUCACAAAAUGUGGAAUAUAAUUAAACUUGUCAAGUUGAAUUUAGACUGUUGUAAAAAGUAGUUAAACCAAACAUUGUUAUAACUUAGAUUUGCCAGUUCAUGAAAGGAGGAAACAUUUAUUCAUUCUA